Molecule: ribosomal RNA, 427 nt
Filed under: uncultured bacterium
Lineage: Bacteria
Description: bacterial SSU rRNA
Rfam family: Bacterial small subunit ribosomal RNA
Source: RNAcentral
CACAUGCAAGUCGUNCGGGAGNUUUUAACUCAAGUGGCGGACGGGUGAGUAACACGUGAGAAUUUACCUUUAGGAGGGGGACAACAACUGGAAACGGGUGCUAAUACCCCAUAUGCUUUCGAGUGAAAUGAAUUUAUUCNGCCUGAAGAGAAGCUCGCGCCUGAUUAGCUUGUUGGUAGGGUAAGAGCCUACCAAGGCGACGAUCAGUAUCUGGUUUGAGAGGACGAUCAGACACACUGGAACUGAGACACGGNCCAUACUCCUACGGGAGGCAGCAGUGGGGAAUUUUCCGCAAUGGGCGAAAGCCUGACGGAGCAAUACCGCGUGAGGGAAGACGGCCUAUGGGUUGUAAACCUNUUUUUUCAGGGAGGAAUUCAAUGACGUGUACCUGAAGAAUAAGCAUCGGCUAACUCCGNGCCAGCAGCCG